GACGAACGCUGGCGGCGUGCUUAACACAUGCAAGUCGAGCGGUAAGGCCUCUUCGGGGGUACACGAGCGGCGAACGGGUGAGUAACACGUGGGUGACCUGCCCUCAGCUCUGGGAUAAGCCUAGGAAACUGGGUCUAAUACCGGGUAUGACCUUUCCUCGCAUGGGGUUUGGUGGAAAGUUUUUUCGGCUGGGGAUGGGCCCGCGGCCUAUCAGCUUGUUGGUGGGGUGAUGGCCUACCAAGGCGACGACGGGUAGCCGGCCUGAGAGGGCGACCGGCCACACUGGGACUGAGACACGGCCCAGACUCCUACGGGAGGCAGCAGUGGGGAAUAUUGCGCAAUGGGCGGAAGCCUGACGCAGCGACGCCGCGUGGGGGAUGACGGCCUUCGGGUUGUAAACCUCUUUCGACCCCGACGAAUUUGGACGGUAGGGGUAGAAGAAGCACCGGCCAACUACGUG
Molecule: ribosomal RNA, 460 nt
Filed under: uncultured bacterium
Lineage: Bacteria
Description: partial 16S ribosomal RNA
Rfam family: Bacterial small subunit ribosomal RNA
Source: RNAcentral